This 46-nucleotide non-coding RNA is filed under the name Trichobilharzia regenti. Lineage: Eukaryota; Metazoa; Platyhelminthes; Trematoda; Strigeidida; Schistosomatidae. The record is from RNAcentral.
CUGCUGCUGAAGAGUCGCGAACUAGGACGAAACAGCUGUCCAGUAC